UACGUAGGGUGCAAGCGUUAUUCGGAAUUACUGGGCGUAAAGCGUGCGCAGGCGGUUUUGUAAGGCUGAUGUGAAAUCCCCGGGCUCAACCUGGGAAUUGCAUUGGAGACUGCAAGGCUAGAAUCUGGCAGAGGGGGGUAGAAUUCCACGUGUAGCAGUGAAAUGCGUAGAGAUGUGGAGGAACACCGAUGGCGAAGGCAGCCCCCUGGGUCAAGAUUGACGCUCAUGCACGAAAGCGUGGGGCGCAAACAGG
This 253-nucleotide ribosomal RNA is filed under the name uncultured bacterium. RNAcentral describes it as "partial 16S ribosomal RNA". It matches the Rfam family "Bacterial small subunit ribosomal RNA", at positions 524 to 776 of the family's 1533-position model. The record is from RNAcentral.